UUGGAUCCGACUAAUCCCGACGAUCGAUGCUCGACUACGUCCACGUAUCCAGAACGAACCACGUCGAUGCGAAUGAUGCAUGAUUCUAUCGAACCACCUGAAUGGGAGGAGACGCUCGAUUGUUUCCCGUCACGAUUAAUUUCAAAUAGAAUUAGAAAGGAUUCGAGCGUUCUGCGAAUGAAGAUUAUUCGAAAGGUACGAAAUUGUUCGAGUUUUUUGUGCUCGUUGCUCGUGAUUCUGGACAGCUGAGUAACGGGGAGAGAAGAAGCAGAUCGGGAAGAAGAAACAGAUGUUAAGUGUAAACGCUUGCGCUAAUUUCAACGGCAAAUACAUAGACGAUUGGACUUCCUCGCUAUAGACUCGCUGCUUGAUUACUGUGUAGUUGAAAAUGGCCCGUCUAAUUGAAACUGAAUAGACGAAGCGGGAGAAACGGAGGUAGAACGUCGAGAGGAAAUGUUUAACAGUUGAAUCUUUUUGCCGCGUUCCAAUUGCCUUGGAAACGAACGUGCCGAAAGGAAGUUGUUACGGGAUUACGUAUAAAAACCAGGAAGCGUGAAUCUCUCAGAUUUAUUUACGAAUUUGCCGAUUGAUGUUUGGCGAUAAGGAGGAACCGAUUAAAUUGCAGAAACGAUAAACAAGAAAAAGAGAAAGAUCGUUUGUUGAACGAAAGGAGCGUUCGACGUUGUAUUCGCCUAGAGCAGAGCGGUUGUUACGAAGAAUAAUAACUGUGGGAGCGUCGCCAAUAUAAUAUCUUUUAUACUACACGACUGGUUGUAGUAUUAAAUCCGCACAGGUUCCGACAGGUUGCCAACCACAAGCUUACUCCACAUGCGGACUCCACAUUUCUCCCAUGACAAAUUCAUGCAAGACAGCGUACAUCAAACCAUAACAUAUUCUCUCAACUACACAGGUCGAGCAGCUGCGACGUGAUACAAAAGAACGCGAUACUACCUGUCUAACGUGAGCGUGGGGUAAACGGUGAUCGGUAUUCGAGUCGUCAGAAACAAUGAUCGUUCUAUCUUGAAAUCGACUGCAGAUGGCUUCGUUUGUACAAUGUGUCAAUGAACUUGCGUGUAUACGGGCUAUAAAUUUUAGUUAGCAAGUUACGAAGAUAUUGUUGAUUAUGCAUAUGCAAGUUAGUUAGCGCUGAAAGGAUUGUAAAUGCUUUGUAUUCAACGAGUCAAAACUAGAUGAUAUAUCGCGAUCGUAAGUCAUGACGAACAAUACCAAUUAAUAAAUAUAUCUCUCGGUCGUAUAUUUUCAUAGAACGAAAUUAUACGAUAGAGUUACGUCUG
Molecule: long non-coding RNA, 1295 nt
Organism: Bombus pascuorum
Lineage: Eukaryota; Metazoa; Arthropoda; Insecta; Hymenoptera; Apidae
Exons: 3
Source: RefSeq, a predicted model, not a curated record